UGUUUUGUGUGGACCCCAGGAAGAGUAGCUGCUGCUUUUGCAACAGCUAAUGGGGAGCCUAAUAAAAUACCAAAUAUACACAGGUUGAAACCAACAAGCUUGUCAGUUCCAAUCCCAGUCACACCUUUUGUUUUCCAACUUUAUCGAACAUUCGUAACUAAUCCCAUGUCAAAUCUACUGCUGUUCUAAUCUAACCUUCUGACUGGCGCUGGGAUAGGGAGGGUAAGGUCACGGGUGUGGAGUCUCCCUCCUGCUGGGAGGUGGACUCAGCUACUAAUCUACCUUCUGACUGGCGCUGGGAUAGGGAGGGUAAGGUCACAGGUGUGGAGUCUCCCUCCUGCUGGGAGGUGGACUCAGCUACUAAUCUACCUUCUGACUGGCGCUGGGAUAGGGAGGGUAAGGUCACGGGUGUGGAGUCUCCCUCCUGCUGGGAGGUGGACUCAGCUACUAAUCUACCUUCUGACUGGCGCUGGGAUAGGGAGGGUAAGGUCACAGGUUAUAAUCUUGCUGAUGCCCAAUCUCAAAACGAUUUGUCAGUUUGUCAUUGCGGUAAAAACACAUUUCACUCAUAUUGUUAGUCAAUGUCUUUUUUAUUUACAAAUUUGGGAGUAAUAGAUAACUGAAUAACUCUACAUGUACACCGGCACAGCAAUAAAGAAAAUGUAGUCUUUUGAGGAAAC
Molecule: long non-coding RNA, 680 nt
Filed under: Salmo salar (Atlantic salmon)
Lineage: Eukaryota; Metazoa; Chordata; Actinopteri; Salmoniformes; Salmonidae
Description: lncRNA (ENSSSAG00000106961.1, ENSSSAG00000122122.1)
Source: RNAcentral